Molecule: unclassified non-coding RNA, 242 nt
Filed under: uncultured Westerdykella
Lineage: Eukaryota; Fungi; Ascomycota; Dothideomycetes; Pleosporales; Sporormiaceae
Description: sequence contains ITS2
Rfam family: 5.8S ribosomal RNA (bases 1-52)
Source: RNAcentral
AACGCACAUUGCGCCCUAUGGUAUUCCGUAGGGCAUGCCUGUUCGAGCGUCAUUUACACCUUCAAGCUCUGCUUGGUGUUGGGUGACUGUGGCCCCCGGGCCACUCGCCUUAAAGUCAUUGGCGGCCGGUUUGUAGGCUUCGAGCGCAGCACAUUUGCGUCCUCGUGGCCCGUGGAUCGGCUCCCAGAAGCUAUCUUUCAAUUUUUGACCUCGGAUCAGGUAGGGAUACCCGCUGAACUUAA